GUAGUCCACGCCCUAAACGAUGCUCACUAGGUGUUGGGGAAGCGAUUCCUUGGUACCGUAGCUAACGCGUGAAGUGAGCCGCCUGGGGAGUACGGCCGCAAGGUUAAAACUCAAAGGAAUUGACGGGGACCCGCACAAGCGGUGGAUGAUGUGGAUUAAUUCGAUGCAACGCGAACAACCUUACCUACCCUUGACAUGUCCGGAAGGCUGCUGAAAGGCGGUUGUGCCCGAAAGGGAACCGGAACACAGGUGCUGCAUGGCUGUCGUCAGCUCGUGUCGUGAGAUGUUGGGUUAAGUCCCGCAACGAGCGCAACCCUUGUCCCUAGUUGCUACGCAAGGGCACUCUAGGGAGACUGCCGGUGACAAACCGGAGGAAGGUGGGGAUGACGUCAAGUCCUCAUGGCCCUUAUGGGUAGGGCUUCACACGUCAUACAAUGGCCGGUACAGAGGGUUGCCAAGCCGCGAGGCGGAGCCAAUCCCUACAAAGCCGGUCGUAGUCCGGAUCGCAGUCUGCAACUCGACUGCGUGAAGUCGGAAUCGCUAGUAAUCGCGGAUCAGCAUGUCGCGGUGAAUA
This 574-nucleotide ribosomal RNA is filed under the name uncultured Rhodocyclaceae bacterium. RNAcentral describes it as "bacterial SSU rRNA". It matches the Rfam family "Bacterial small subunit ribosomal RNA", at positions 790 to 1368 of the family's 1533-position model. Lineage: Bacteria; Pseudomonadati; Pseudomonadota; Betaproteobacteria; Rhodocyclales; Rhodocyclaceae. The record is from RNAcentral.